This 223-nucleotide long non-coding RNA is filed under the name Elaeis guineensis (African oil palm). Its description in RNAcentral is "long non-coding RNA (EGUI_LNC052798)". The record is from RNAcentral. Lineage: Eukaryota; Viridiplantae; Streptophyta; Magnoliopsida; Arecales; Arecaceae.
AUUCAGUGACGGAAGGCUGCUGGGUGUAGUCAAGUACUUGACUUAUCGGUGCAUGUGUCAAGAUGGGAUUGACCACUCCAGUUCAGGAGCUGUGUACAGUCAUGUUUUAAUUUAGCAAAACCUUGGCCAGGGUAGUCCUAGUGAGGAGUCACAGGACUGUUUGAGUUGAGCACGAUUCGGAUGAUCUACUCAGGGUUGACAGUUUAACCCUGAGUCAUCCUAA